This 642-nucleotide ribosomal RNA is filed under the name Bacillus subtilis. Its description in RNAcentral is "bacterial SSU rRNA". It matches the Rfam family "Bacterial small subunit ribosomal RNA", at positions 37 to 656 of the family's 1533-position model. Lineage: Bacteria; Bacillati; Bacillota; Bacilli; Caryophanales; Bacillaceae. The record is from RNAcentral.
UGGCGGGGGGCCUAGCUAUACAUGCAAGUCGAGCGGACAGAUGGGAGCUUGCUCCCUGAUGUUAGCGGCGGACGGGUGAGUAACACGUGGGUAACCUGCCUGUAAGACUGGGAUAACUCCGGGAAACCGGGGCUAAUACCGGAUGGUUGUUUGAACCGCAUGGUUCAAACAUAAAAGGUGGCUUCGGCUACCACUUACAGAUGGACCCGCGGCGCAUUAGCUAGUUGGUGAGGUAACGGCUCACCAAGGCAACGAUGCGUAGCCGACCUGAGAGGGUGAUCGGCCACACUGGGACUGAGACACGGCCCAGACUCCUACGGGAGGCAGCAGUAGGGAAUCUUCCGCAAUGGACGAAAGUCUGACGGAGCAACGCCGCGUGAGUGAUGAAGGUUUUCGGAUCGUAAAGCUCUGUUGUUAGGGAAGAACAAGUACCGUUCGAAUAGGGCGGUACCUUGACGGUACCUAACCAGAAAGCCACGGCUAACUACGUGCCAGCAGCCGCGGUAAUACGUAGGUGGCAAGCGUUGUCCGGAAUUAUUGGGCGUAGGGGGGCUCGCAGGCGGUUUCUUAAGUCUGAUGUGAAAGCCCCCCGGCUCAACCGGGGAGGGUAUUGGCAACUGGGCGCACUUGAUUGCAAAAGAG